RNAcentral lists this ribosomal RNA (433 nucleotides) under uncultured bacterium. Its description in RNAcentral is "partial 16S ribosomal RNA". It matches the Rfam family "Bacterial small subunit ribosomal RNA", at positions 29 to 507 of the family's 1533-position model. The record is from RNAcentral.
AACGAACGCUGGCGGCAGGCCUAACACAUGCAAGUCGAGCGGACCUUUCGGGGUCAGCGGCGGACGGGUGAGUAACGCGUGGGAAUAUGCCCUUCUCUACGGAAUAGUCCUGGGAAACUGGGGGUAAUACCGUAUACGCCCUUUGGGGGAAAGAUUUAUCGGGGAAGGAUUAGCCCGCGUUGGAUUAGGUAGUUGGUGGGGAAAUGGCCUACCAAGCCGACGAUCCAUAGCUGGUUUGAGAGGAUGAUCAGCCACACUGGGACUGAGACACGGCCCAGACUCCUACGGGAGGCAGCAGUGGGGAAUCUUAGACAAUGGGGGCAACCCUGAUCUAGCCAUGCCGCGUGAGUGAUGAAGGCCUUAGGGUUGUAAAGCUCUUUCAGCUGGGAAGAUAAUGACGGUACCAGCAGAAGAAGCCCCGGCUAACUCCGUG